Molecule: small nucleolar RNA, 68 nt
Organism: Kryptolebias marmoratus (mangrove rivulus)
Lineage: Eukaryota; Metazoa; Chordata; Actinopteri; Cyprinodontiformes; Rivulidae
Source: Ensembl
UUUCUAUGACGAUACUUUGUCCAGUUCUGCUACUGAAUGCAAGUGAUGACAUUAGUGACCCUGAGAAA